AUAUCUGAUUUCACUUGGACCAAUUAUCAAUUCCAGCUAUUCUGAUUAAUAAUCCAAAUUUAAUUAUUAAUGUAAGGAUAAAUAAUCCUAAAUUAUUUAAUAAUCUCUCUCGAGUCUUAUUAAAUAUACUAAUUAAAAUCUAUAAUCUAUCUUCCAAUAGUAAAAUAGAUUUUAAUUAGUUCAAUAAGCACAGUGAUUAUUUCCAAGAUCCAACAGGUCAAAUCUUCUGCUUCCGCUCCAAUUAUUAUUCCUAUGAUGUUUGUUAUUAACUCCAAUUUAUAAUCUUCCUUCCCAGUACCAAUUAUAAAUCGAAAUCAAUCAAGUACCAAAGAUAAUAAUACUUAAAAGCAUUAAGUGCAAAUAACAAACAAUUGCAUUAACAAAGAAAAUUAAUACAAGAUUCUAAAAUUGAAAUUAAAUCCAAGCUAUAUCAGGUACCCUAGCUAGAAAUUUAGCUUUUCAUCAUAUCAAAAUCAAACUCAAGUUUACUUGAAUAAAACUCUAAAAUCAUCCUAACAAUGAGUUCUAGAAAAUAAAUUCAAAGUAAAUAAGAGAAAGAAUUAAAACUCUGAAGGAAUUGCAGAGCUGAAUGAAUCCUCUCUUCAAAUCUUCCAGAUACUCCGAACUCUCCUUGCUUGAUUUUUAGCUUUCAAAGAUGAUUCUCCUCCUCCUGUUGCUGGUGUUUUAGGAUCCUUAAAUAGGACUAGGGCUAGGGUUAAGGUGGUAUUUUUCUCAUGAUUUUAUUCUAUAUAUCAUUCUUUCUAUUUGAUAUAGAAUCUCUCCUCCUUUGGAUAGGCUUUAAGCAACCACCAACCAUCUACUCCUUAUGCUGCCCAAAUUUUCUGAUUUUAUUCUGAUUUCCAUAGUAAAAGAAGGAAAAGAGGUAUGGUUAAUUAGAGGAGAAGAAUUUCUUCCUUCCUGGAUCCACAAAAUCUGCAAAAUAAAGUAAGGUUUUGGCUGCCCAAAUCAAGUUUUCCAAGAAUUGGUUCCAAUUCUUUCUAAGUUUGCUCCUCAUGCAGAAUUAGUUUGGACUCUGAUUUUCUUUCAUUUAAUUCUUUCCAAGAUAGCUCUUUGCCACCCAAAAUUGGUUGCCAUAUCAGAUCUUUGUGCCAAAAAACACUAAGAAGAAUCUGGGUGUAUCGGGUGUUUCUUGUUGUGUCCAACAUUGUUACCAACUUCAACCUACUGUAGCCACCUCAUCUGGAAUCUAAAUUCAAUUCUGUAAAUUAUGUUCCUUUCUUACUUCUCUCAAAAUUUUGUAGGAUCUAAUCUUGCUCAAUUUGGAGUCCUGUAGCUUGCCUUUUAGGGUCCUCACACUAAAAUAUCCAGAAUUUAGAUUGGUUGACU
This 1347-nucleotide long non-coding RNA is filed under the name Elaeis guineensis (African oil palm). Its description in RNAcentral is "long non-coding RNA (EGUI_LNC063060)". The record is from RNAcentral. Lineage: Eukaryota; Viridiplantae; Streptophyta; Magnoliopsida; Arecales; Arecaceae.